Molecule: ribosomal RNA, 260 nt
Filed under: uncultured Staphylococcus sp.
Lineage: Bacteria; Bacillati; Bacillota; Bacilli; Caryophanales; Staphylococcaceae
Description: partial 16S ribosomal RNA
Rfam family: Bacterial small subunit ribosomal RNA
Source: RNAcentral
CGGGGUGAGUAACACGUGGAUAACCUACCUAUAAGACUGGGAUAACUUCGGGAAACCGGAGCUAAUACCGGAUAAUAUAUUGAACCGCAUGGUUCAAUAGUGAAAGACGGUUUUGCUGUCACUUAUAGAUGGAUCCGCGCUGCAUUAGCUAGUUGGUAAGGUAACGGCUUACCAAGGCAACGAUGCGUAGCCGACCUGAGAGGGUGAUCGGCCACACUGGAACUGAGACACGGUCCAGACUCCUACGGGAGGCAGCAGUC